Molecule: transfer RNA, 66 nt
Filed under: Conanalus pieli
Lineage: Eukaryota; Metazoa; Arthropoda; Insecta; Orthoptera; Tettigoniidae
Description: tRNA-Leu
Rfam family: tRNA
About the family: Transfer RNA (tRNA) molecules are approximately 80 nucleotides in length. Their secondary structure includes four short double-helical elements and three loops (D, anti-codon, and T loops).
Source: RNAcentral
GCUAUUUUGGCAGAUAAGUGUAUUGGAUUUAGAAUUCAAUUAUGUAAAUUUAAUUUACAGAUAGUA